UACGGAGGGUGCAAGCGUUAAUCGGAAUUACUGGGCGUAAAGCGCGCGCAGGCGGCUUGUUAAGUCAGAUGUGAAAUCCCCGGGCUCAACCUGGGAACUGCAUCUGAUACUGGCAGGCUUGAGUGUGGUAGAGGGGGGUAGAAUUCCAGGUGUAGCGGUGAAAUGCGUAGAGAUCGGGAGGAACACCGGUGGCGAAGGCGGCCCCCUGGACGAAUACUGACGCUGAGGUGCGAAAGCGUGGGGAGCAAACAGG
This 253-nucleotide ribosomal RNA is filed under the name uncultured bacterium. RNAcentral describes it as "partial 16S ribosomal RNA". It matches the Rfam family "Bacterial small subunit ribosomal RNA", at positions 524 to 776 of the family's 1533-position model. The record is from RNAcentral.